AAAUAUAUUAUUUUUAAAACUUAAAUAAAUCAUUUAAAUUUUAACAUUGAAAUUGUCUCAAAUUUACUCUCAGAAUGGAGAGAGUACAAAUGUACAAUAACCAAAAGAGUAACUUAAGUAUCCAAAACAUAUGAAUGGAGCUACUAAACAGCACCAAACAAAACCAGUUCGAGUCUUCCCAUCCAUCAACCACAACCUGCAGUACUGAAAGGGCCAUGGCCAUGAUGUGAGUUGCUUCCGCAUACACCUGCAUUGUCAAUUAUUUUUCAAUUAACCCCUCAAUUAUCAAAUUGAAUACUUGUUUCCUUAUAGUACUUGUCACUUAGUGUCAAUUAUUUUCCUUUGAUCAAAUUUUUCUCAAUUUCUUAUCACGUGCUAAUUAUGCGUUGGUUUAAUGAGAAUCUUUGUUAUUUGACUAUGUAAAAUAUUCAUUUCACGCAGUCACAUUUUAGUCAUGAGAACUAAGUAUUUUACUUCAUCAAAUAACAAAGAUACACUCAUUAACAGACGCAUGACUACCGUCAUUAAACACUCGCAUGACAACCAUAAAGAGGGAAGUAUUUACUUUAAUAAUCGAGCAGCUACUUUGAAAAAUUAAAUGACAACUUGGACGGACAGACCUGUUUUCAAUAUAUAUUCAUGGAAAUAAAAUAUCAAUUAUAUUAACUAUUACUAACCUGAUCCAGCCAUGCCGCCUAAAUUUCUUCCAGCUGUUCCAGGAGAGACUAGGAGAAACAAAACCAAACAGAAGACAUAUAUCAUAAUAAGACUUAUAAUAUCUUUUGGUGCCAUUUUAAUUUGCCAAUAAGAUGCGGCUCUAAGAAAUUUGUUGGUUUUUCUUUUGAACAAAGAAUGGUUAAAUAUUUUCCCUCUUCACUAUGAUAUAUAUAUAUGAGAAGGAAAUUUCGAGGUUAGCAAAGAUUUCAAGUCAUGUGCCAUUUUGUCAAAUU
RNAcentral lists this long non-coding RNA (950 nucleotides) under Panax ginseng (ginseng). RNAcentral describes it as "long non-coding RNA (PGIN_LNC003529)". The record is from RNAcentral. Lineage: Eukaryota; Viridiplantae; Streptophyta; Magnoliopsida; Apiales; Araliaceae.